UACGUAGGGUGCAAGCGUUGUCCGGAAUUAUUGGGCGUAAAGAGCUCGUAGGCGGUUUGUCGCGUCUGCUGUGAAAACCCGAGGCUCAACCUCGGGCCUGCAGUGGGUACGGGCAGACUAGAGUGCGGUAGGGGAGAUUGGAAUUCCUGGUGUAGCGGUGAAAUGCGCAGAUAUCAGGAGGAACACCGGUGGCGAAGGCGGAUCUCUGGGCCUUGCCUGACGCUGAGGCGCGAAAGCUAGGGGAGCGAACAGG
Molecule: ribosomal RNA, 253 nt
Filed under: uncultured bacterium
Lineage: Bacteria
Description: partial 16S ribosomal RNA
Rfam family: Bacterial small subunit ribosomal RNA
Source: RNAcentral